GUCUACGGCCAUACCACCCUGAAUGUGCCUGAUCUCUUCUGAUCCCAGAACCUAAGCAGGGUCAGGCCUGAUUAGUACUUGGAUGGGAGAAAUACAGCUGCUGAUGAGC
This 109-nucleotide ribosomal RNA is filed under the name Echinops telfairi (small Madagascar hedgehog). The record is from RNAcentral. Lineage: Eukaryota; Metazoa; Chordata; Mammalia; Afrosoricida; Tenrecidae.